Molecule: ribosomal RNA, 403 nt
Filed under: uncultured bacterium
Lineage: Bacteria
Description: partial 16S ribosomal RNA
Rfam family: Bacterial small subunit ribosomal RNA
Source: RNAcentral
GACGAACGCUGGCGGCGUGCCUAAUACAUGCAAGUCGAACGCAGUGGGGACGGGUGAGUAACACGUGGGUAACCUCCCAUCAGAGGGGAUAACACUUGGAAACAGGUGCUAAACCGAUACUGAUGGAUGGACCCGCGGUGGCUUAGCUAGUGGGUGAGGUAACGCCUUACAAAGGCCACGAUGCAUAGCCGGCCUGAGAGGAUGAUCGGUCACACUGGAACGGAGACACGGCCCAGACUCCUACGGGAGGCAGCAGUGGGGAAUCUUGGGCAAUGGGCGAAAGUCUGACCGAGCAAUGCCGCGUGUGUGAAGAAGGUUUUCGGAUCGUAAAGCUCUGUUGUUAGGGAAGCGGUAUCUAACCAGUAAGCCACGGCUAACUACGUGCCAGCAGCCGCGGUAAUUC